GCAUGUUUGCCAACACUCUGGUGCCUAAUCUUUAUUUCGAGCUAUAUGCUGCUUAAUAAUGCUAUAUUGGGUUCCUAUUUUGGUGCAAACUAGAAAAAUUUAAGCUGACUACUCACCAUUGUACUCUACCAAUAUGGGUACAAUCGGUCCAUUUCUUUAGCUUUCAU
Molecule: small nucleolar RNA, 167 nt
Filed under: Debaryomyces hansenii
Lineage: Eukaryota; Fungi; Ascomycota; Pichiomycetes; Serinales; Debaryomycetaceae
Description: Small nucleolar RNA snR80
Rfam family: Small nucleolar RNA snR80
Source: Rfam by way of RNAcentral